ACGCCCAUAGUAAUAUACUAGUAAAUAGAACUGAUUUACGAAGUUAUACAACAAGGAAGCGAUGACAAACAUGUGUUGUUGCGA
This 84-nucleotide non-coding RNA is filed under the name uncultured Mamiellales. Lineage: Eukaryota; Viridiplantae; Chlorophyta; Mamiellophyceae; Mamiellales. The record is from RNAcentral.